This 1514-nucleotide long non-coding RNA is filed under the name Salmo salar (Atlantic salmon). RNAcentral's name for it is "lncRNA (ENSSSAG00000093455.1)". Lineage: Eukaryota; Metazoa; Chordata; Actinopteri; Salmoniformes; Salmonidae. The record is from RNAcentral.
UCCAUAUGUAAUAAGUAUAUGCAUAUUCUAGUUACUGGGUAGGAGUGCUAACCAGAUUAAAUCGGGUACGUUUUUUAUCCAGCCGUGAAAAUACUGCCCCCUAGCCAUAACAGGUUAACAGAUAGACCAAUAUUAUUUAUAUAAAUGUGACCCGAAACUAGGCAUAUGUCGCAAGUCAUGACUUCACAGGAGAGCCGUUUGAACAUAAAUGUGUUUUUUGGGGGAGAAAUACCUUCUCGAACAUUGCUGCCUUAAUAUCAAACUUGUAUGCCAUCUGUAAAUAUGAAGGAAACUGUUAAAUUACGAGCCUAGUUGGUUUAGCAACAGAAAAAGUGAGCAACCUUCCCACUACCAUGUACCGAGAUUAUGAGUGGGCUGGGCAUGCUGAGAGAUGAGUUUGGAUUGGUCUGCGGUGUAACAUCUUGUGUCUAUAAAAUGAGCUGCUCGUAAUGCGUAGAUAAUCCUUUCAAAGCAGUUUUUUGAAAGAUAUAACGUUAGCCAUGGAGAACUGCAAAUACGUUGCUACUGCCUUGUAUUUAUCAGGAGCUAUCGACAAAGGACAGUGAGAAAAAAUUGUGAUGACUACUUUCUGGAGGACGAUCGUGCUAUGCUGACUUGCUAACGUUACUCUAUGGAUAAUAAUAAAGAGUGACUUGACACAACAGGCCAAACAAGCUGUGCAAACUAAACGGAAAUGACACAGGACGUCUUAUUCAAUAAAAGGGGUUGCAGUCUGCCAUGAAGCUUUCAUCCAUACAUACGGCAUCAGUUUAACACGCCUGACUCUCCUCCACCAGUCAUACAAGGAGAAUGGUGUAAUGCCUCCCAUCAAAAAGAGAGCUGGCCCAAGCAAGCAUAGGUUACUCCUGAAGCAUGAGGAAUUGCUGCAAGUGACGAACUUCAUCAACAACGACGAAGAGGAUAAUGCUAUAGUAUUACCAGGACGCCACCCAGGACACAAACACUUUGGGGGAAAUCUGCAGCCAUCCCAUGUGACAAAAGCAGCAGUGUGGCAUCUCUACAAGGAAUCGAUGACAACACUUGGUAUUUUUUUAUUUAUUUCACCUUUAUUUAACCAGGUAGGCAAGUUGAGAACAAGUUCUCAUUUACAAUUGCGACCUGGCCAAGAUAAAGCAAAGCAGUUCGACAACAUACAAAAACACAGAGUUACACAUGGAGUAAAACAACAUACAAUCAAUGAUACAGUAGACAAAAAUAAGACUAUAUACAAUGUGAGCAAAUGAUGUGAGAUAAGGGAGGUAAAGGCAAAAAAAACGCCAUGGUGGCAAAGUAAAUAAAGUAUAGCAAGUAAAACACUUGAAUGGUAGAAUUAUAAUUUGAAGAAAGUUCAAAGUUAAAAUAUAAAUAAUACGGUGCAAAGGAGCAAAAUAAUAAAUAAAAUAAAUAAAUACAGUUGGGGAAGAGGUAGUAGUUUGGGCUAAAUUAUAGAUGGGCUAUGUACAGUUGCAGUGAUCUGGGAGCUGCUCUGAUAGCUGGUUCUUAAAGCUAGUGAG